GACGAACGCUGGCGGCGUGCUUAACACAUGCAAGUCGAACGGAAAGGCCCUGCUUGCAGGGUACUCGAGUGGCGAACGGGUGAGUAACACGUGGGUGAUCUGCCCUGCACUUCGGGAUAAGCCUGGGAAACGGGGUCUAAUACCGGAUAGGAGCCAUUUUUAGUGUGAUGGUUGGAAAGUUUUUUCGGUGUAGGAUGAGCUCGCGGCCUAUCAGCUUGUUGGUGGGGUAAUGGCCUACCAAGGCGGCGACGGGUAGCCGGCCUGAGAGGGUGGACGGCCACAUUGGGACUGAGAUACGGCCCAGACUCCUACGGGAGGCAGCAGUGGGGAAUAUUGCACCAUGGGCGCCAGCCUGAUGCAGCGACGCCGCGUGGGGGAUGACGGCCUUCGGGUUGUAAACUCCUUUCGCUAGGGACGAAGCUUUUUGUGACGGUACCUAGAUAAGAAGCACCGGCUAACUACGUG
RNAcentral lists this ribosomal RNA (465 nucleotides) under uncultured bacterium. RNAcentral's name for it is "partial 16S ribosomal RNA". It matches the Rfam family "Bacterial small subunit ribosomal RNA", at positions 28 to 507 of the family's 1533-position model. The record is from RNAcentral.